GAUAUAUAACUUCUUGUUAUUUGUGGUGUGAAGGAGGGGGUAGGGGAUCUUCUUGCUACGUCUUAUUUUUUUUUUUUUUUUCAUGUCAUGACGUUAUCUAAUCAGAAAGUCACGGCUAACUACGUGCCAGCAGCCGCGUUAAUACGUAGGUGGCAAGCGUUAUCCGGAUUUAUUGGGCGUAAAGCGCGCGUAGGCGGUUUCUUAAGUCUGAUGUGAAAGCCUACGGCUCAACCGUGGAGGGUCAUUGGAAACUGGAAAACUUGAGUGCAGAAGAGGAAAGUGGAAUUCCAUGUGUAGCGGUGAAAUGCGUAGAUAUAUGGAGGAACACCAGUGGCGAAGGCGACUUUCUGGUCUGUAACUGACGCUGAUGUUCGAAAGCGUGGGUAUCAAAACAGGAUUAGAUACCCUGGUAGUCCACGCCGUAAACGAUGAGUGCUAAGUGUUUAGGGGGGUUUCCCGCCCCUUUAGUGCUGCAGCUUAACGCAUUUAAGCAUCUUCCGCCUGGGGAGUUACGACCCGCAAGGUUGAAACUUCAAAGGAAAUUGACGGGACCUCGCACAAGCGGUGGGAGCAUGUGGUUUUAAUUUCGGAGCAACGCGAAGAAAUCUUUACCAGAUCUUUGACAUUUCUUUUGGACUACUCUAGAGAUAGGAGUUUUCUCUCUUUUGGGGACAAAAAAGUGACAGGGGGCGUGUGUUUU
RNAcentral lists this ribosomal RNA (700 nucleotides) under uncultured Lactobacillales bacterium. RNAcentral describes it as "partial 16S ribosomal RNA". It matches the Rfam family "Bacterial small subunit ribosomal RNA", at positions 420 to 1051 of the family's 1533-position model. The record is from RNAcentral. Lineage: Bacteria; Bacillati; Bacillota; Bacilli; Lactobacillales.